AGCUUUUUAAAAACUCGCACUGG
RNAcentral lists this non-coding RNA (23 nucleotides) under Cricetulus griseus (Chinese hamster). The record is from RNAcentral. Lineage: Eukaryota; Metazoa; Chordata; Mammalia; Rodentia; Cricetidae.